RNAcentral lists this long non-coding RNA (997 nucleotides) under Setaria italica (foxtail millet). RNAcentral describes it as "long non-coding RNA (SITA_LNC003186)". Lineage: Eukaryota; Viridiplantae; Streptophyta; Magnoliopsida; Poales; Poaceae. The record is from RNAcentral.
UUCAGAGAAUGCAUCAGAUAUUCAGAUUGGAUAGCACGGUCCUGAAACAGAAUAGCACACAAACAAGCAGAUUUCAGUACAGAAGCAGGAUAAAAUUGGGGUGGCCCAGGCGCCCAGCGGAGGCCAUUCGAAGCCGGCGCCGAUGAAGUCGCUGGAGAGCAGCGACCUUUUCGUUGUCCAUUGCACCUCCGGCCCGAAGGCUCCUUCCUCUCCUCCCCGCCGGCCUCUCCUCUAAUGCCUCAAUGGCGACCAAGCGCCCCAGAUUCCGGCGGGAUUGGGACUGCGGAGCCAUCUCGCUGGGCCGGGGGCGCCGAUGGCGGGUCUGGCGGCAAGGGUUCGGAGGUGGCGAUUGGGGACGAUUUGGGCAUGAAAUUGGGGGCUUUUUGCUUCAGUUUUAUGUGCGUGGAGUCGAUUUGAGCGAAGGCGAUAAGCGCGUGAGGAAGGUGUGGUGGAGCACGGGAUCGCGAGGAGGAAGAAGCGCCUGUUCGUCGCUCGCAGCGGGUAAAAGCGAGCGUUAUCUUCUCGUAUCUUACGCUUCAGCCGGGCGACUCCUCAGGCUGUUUGGAUACACCUCCUACUUUACACCCGUCACAUCGGGUGCUUGAUACUAAUUAAGAGUAUUAAAUAUAGACUAUUUACAAAAUUCAUUGUAUAGGGACAAAUCUAUUAAAUCUAAUUAGUUCAUGAUUUGACAAUGUGCUGCUACAAUAAAUAUGUGCUAAUCAUGGAUUAAUUAGGUUCAAUAGAUUCAUCUCACGAAUUAGUACGAGGUUCUGCAAUUAGUUUUAUAAUUAGCUUAUGUUUAGUUCUUCUAAUUAAUAUACAAAUAUUCGAUGUGACACUCUUAAAAUUUAGCACCUCGUACCAAACAACCCCUCAACAUACGCCCGCUUCCUUCUCUUUCCUCUCUUCUCACUCCUCCAGCUAGGAUUUUUCUGACGUGUACAACCCCUCAGCCUGCCGACUCGGAGCUAUUAUACUUGCUCUAACGUUCUCC